UGGGGAAUAUUGGACAAUGGGGGCAACCCUGAUCCAGCAAUGCCGCGUGUGUGAAGAAGGUUUUCGGAUUGUAAAGCACUUUCGGCGGGGACGAUGAUGACGGUACCCGCAGAAGAAGCCCCGGCUAACUUCGUGCCAGCAGCCGCGGUAAUACGAAGGGGGCUAGCGUUGCUCGGAAUGACUGGGCGUAAAGGGCGUGUAGGCGGUUUGUACAGUCAGAUGUGAAAUCCCCGGGCUUAACCUGGGAGCUGCAUUUGAUACGUGCAGACUAGGGUGUGAGAGAGGGUUGUGGAAUUCCCAGUGUAGAGGUGAAAUUCGUAGAU
RNAcentral lists this ribosomal RNA (323 nucleotides) under uncultured bacterium. Its description in RNAcentral is "partial 16S ribosomal RNA". It matches the Rfam family "Bacterial small subunit ribosomal RNA", at positions 355 to 695 of the family's 1533-position model. The record is from RNAcentral.